UACAGGGGGGGCAAGCGUUGUUCGGAAUUACUGGGCGUAAAGGGCUCGUAGGCGGCCAACUAAGUCACACGUGAAAUCCCCAGGCUUAACCUGGGAACUGCGUGUGAUACUGGAUGGCUUGAAUCCGGGAGAGGGAUGCAGAAUUCCAGGUGUAGCGGUGAAAUGCGUAGAUAUCUGGAGGAAUACCGGUGGCGAAGGCGGCAUCCUGGACCGGCAUUGACGCUGAUGAGCGAAAGCUAGGGGGGCAAACGGG
RNAcentral lists this ribosomal RNA (253 nucleotides) under uncultured bacterium. RNAcentral's name for it is "partial 16S ribosomal RNA". It matches the Rfam family "Bacterial small subunit ribosomal RNA", at positions 524 to 776 of the family's 1533-position model. The record is from RNAcentral.